GAGUUUGAUCUUGGCUCAGGAUGAACGCUAGCGGCAGGCUUAACACAUGCAAGUCGAGGGGCAGCACGGACUUCGGUCUGGUGGCGACCGGCAAACGGGUGCGGAACACGUACGCAACAUACCCUUUACUGGGGGAUAGCCUUCUGAAAAGGAGAUUAAUACCCCAUAAGAUCAUGGGCUGGCAUCAGUCAGUGAUUAAAGAUUUAUUGGUAAAGGAUUGGCGUGCGUCCUAUUAGCUAGUUGGCAGGGUAAUGGCCUACCAAGGCGACGAUAGGUAGCUGGUGUGAGAGCACGACCAGCCACACGGGCACUGAGACACGGGCCCGACUCCUACGGGAGGCAGCAGUGAGGAAUAUUGGUCAAUGGACGCAAGUCUGAACCAGCCAUGCCGCGUGAAGGAUGAAGGCGUUCUGCGUUGUAAACUUCUUUUAUUGGGGAAGAAACCUGGAUUUUCUAAUCCAGCCGACGGUACCCAAGGAAUAAGCACCGGCUAACUCCGUGCCAGCCGCCGCGGUAAC
Molecule: ribosomal RNA, 518 nt
Filed under: uncultured Sphingobacterium sp.
Lineage: Bacteria; Pseudomonadati; Bacteroidota; Sphingobacteriia; Sphingobacteriales; Sphingobacteriaceae
Description: bacterial SSU rRNA
Rfam family: Bacterial small subunit ribosomal RNA
Source: RNAcentral